GUGAGGAAUAUUGGUCAAUGGGCGGGAGCCUGAACCAGCCAAGUCGCGUGAAGGAAGAAGGAUCUAUGGUUCGUAAACUUCUUUUGCAGGGGAAUAAAGUGCGGGACGUGUCCUGUUUUGUAUGUACCCUGAGAAUAAGGAUCGGCUAACUCCGUGCCAGCAGCCGCGGUAAUACGGAGGAUCCGAGCGUUAUCCGGAUUUAUUGGGUUUAAAGGGUGCGUAGGUGGUUUGAUAAGUCAGCGGUGAAAGUUUGCAGCUUAACUGUAAAAAUGCCGUUGAAACUGUCGGACUUGAGUGUAAAGGAGGUAGGCGGAAUGCGUGGUGUAGCGGUGAAAUGCAUAGAUAUCACGCAGAACUCCGAUUGCGAAGGCAGCUUACUAAGCUACAACUGACACUGAAGCACGAAAGCGUGGGGAUCAAACAGGAUUAGAUACCCGGGUAGUCC
This 445-nucleotide ribosomal RNA is filed under the name uncultured bacterium. RNAcentral describes it as "partial 16S ribosomal RNA". It matches the Rfam family "Bacterial small subunit ribosomal RNA", at positions 354 to 796 of the family's 1533-position model. The record is from RNAcentral.